Molecule: ribosomal RNA, 975 nt
Filed under: Raffaelea arxii
Lineage: Eukaryota; Fungi; Ascomycota; Sordariomycetes; Ophiostomatales; Ophiostomataceae
Description: SSU rRNA
Rfam family: Eukaryotic small subunit ribosomal RNA
Source: RNAcentral
UAAAUCAGUUAUCGUCUAUUUGAUAGUACCUUACUACUCGGAUAACCGUGGUAAUUCUAGAGCUAAUACGUGCUGAAAACCCCGACUUCGGAAGGGGUGUAUUUAUUAGAUUAAAAAGCCAAUGCCCCCCCGGGGCCCCUUGGUGAUUCAUGAUAACUCCUCGAAUCGCACGGCCUUGCGCCGGCGAUGGUUCAUUCAAAUUUCUGCCCUAUCAACUUUCGACGGCUGGGUCUUGGCCAGCCGUGGUGACAACGGGUAACGGAGGGUUAGGGCUCGACCCCGGAGAAGGAGCCUGAGAAACGGCUACUACAUCCAAGGAAGGCAGCAGGCGCGCAAAUUACCCAAUCCCGACGCGGGGAGGUAGUGACAAUAAAUACUGAUACAGGGCUCUUUCGGGUCUUGUAAUUGGAAUGAGUACAAUUUAAUUCCCUUAACGAGGAACAAUUGGAGGGCAAGUCUGGUGCCAGCAGCCGCGGUAAUUCCAGCUCCAAUAGCGUAUAUUAAAGUUGUUGCAGUUAAAAAGCUCGUAGUUGAACCUUGGGCCUGGCUGGCCGGUCCGCCUCACCGCGUGCACUGGUCCGGCCGGGCCUUUCCCUCUGGGGAACCGCAUGCCCUUCGCUGGGCGUGCCGGGGAACCAGGACGUUUACUUUGAAAAAAUUAGAGUGUUCAAAGCAGGCUUAUGCUCGGAUACAUUAGCAUGGAAUAAUGGAAUAGGACGUGCGGUUCUAUUUUGUUGGUUUCUAGGACCGCCGUAAUGAUUAAUAGGGACAGUCGGGGGCAUCCGUAUUCAGUUGUCAGAGGUGAAAUUCUUGGAUCUACUGAAGACGAACUACUGCGAAAGCAUUUGCCCAAGGAUGUUUUCAUUAAUCAGGAACGAAAGUUAGGGGAUCGAAGACGAUCAGAUACCGUCGUAGUCUUAACCAUAAACUAUGCCGACUAGGGAUCGGACGGUGUUGCUUUUUGACCCGUUCGGC